CCUCUCUAUUCUAUUCUAUUCUAUUCUAUUGUAUUUUACUCUAUCCCAUUCUAUUCUAUUUUUCUCUUUCAUAUAGGUUUUUCAUCGAUCCUGGAAAUAUGUAUUGUUUAAGCGUCGAACGUCGUCCCGAUACUCGAAUUGCCCUGUCCGUUCUCUCUCUCUUUCUCUCUCUCUCUCUUUUUUCUUUUUUUUUUUUUCCUUUUUUUUUCCCCUCCAGGACCACCACCAAGGCUGACCUAAAAACUCUCUUACCUUUCUUUUAUCCGAUCUCUCUAUAACGUCAAGUAAACCGAACGAACAAUAAACGAAAUCCUCUUCUGUCUGUUAUGAAAAUAUGACGCGUAUAUAGACAUCUGAGAAUGUCGAUGACGGGUGUAGGAUAAAUAAGCUCGACCCGAAUAAUCUCGCGUUAUUUUUAGAUCGUAUCGAUCUUAAACGAAUGAAAUAUUUUCCAACGAUAAUCGACGGUAUAUAAUUCCUUAUUUCACCGACAAUUCAUGUUAACUGUUCUUAAUCGAUCCUAAGUUGUAUUGUAUGUAUACAUAUGUGUACAUAUGUAUUGUACAUAGUAUACGUAACAUGUCGGUUGGCGUAACGGCUAGAAUCGUCUCUUACGAAACCGGAUGGAUGGAUAUUCAGGUUCAGAUUCGGGUUUGAAUAAUUGCAAAAGGGAUUUAUGAUUGUUGGUAUGCAUAUAUGUAUAUAUAUACAUAACAUAUACUCUUUUAUAAAGGAUAUUUCAUUCUAAUUCUAAUUUCUCCAACUGGUUGGUUUUCUUUUCUGUUUUUUUUUUUUUUUUUUUUUUUUUUCUUUUUUUUUCCCCCUUCUUUUUUCAAGUUCAUUGUAAUUUCUUAAAGUAUCUUUCGACCAUUGAAAAAAUAAAAAUACAUAUUUAUAUAUGUAUAUCAUCUACGUAUCCAAUUAUACAAUAUUAAUUAAUGGAUAUGAAUCAUUGUAUCGUACUUAUAACAACAAAUGAAUCAGAGAUAUGAUGAGUAUGAAUUAAGUGUUCGGAUAAAAAAAAAAAAAAAAAAAAAAAAAAAAAAAAAAAAAAAAAAAAAAAAAAAAAAAAAAAAAAAAAAGAAAUAGAAAAAAAAGGAAAGUGAUAAGAAAAUUGCCCAAUGAUGAGAAAAUGAGAUAUGAUUUUGUGGCCAGAGUCAAUCUAGCAGAAGGGACACACAAGCUAAGGUACAUUUUGGUUACCAACGAGAAAUUGUCUCGGGAAGGUCUGAGAUAAAGUCGGAUUCGAAUAAAAUUUUUAUUUAUUUUCGAAUAUAUGCUCUAGAAGGGCAGCCUUGUUAUACGGGGCCGAGGAAAACAGAAAUAUUUGACGAUCGAUCUUUAAGAAACCUAGGACGUCAUGUUAUCUCUUUUCCACUUUCGUUCCUUAUCUUAUAAUUUUUUUUGUCUAUUUAUUUUUAUAUAUAUUAUACAAUUAAAUCUGUCGCGAAAAAACGAAAUUACUUUCCGAACAACCCAAUAUAUAUAUAUAUAUAUAUAUAUAUAUAUAUAUAUAUAUUUAUAUAUAUAUAUAUUUCUUGAUGAGAAAAGAUUAUUUUAAACUUUACUAUUUACAUAUCAUCUUUUAUCCACGAACAGAUACCUACGUAAAUCUUUCUCUAUUCUCUGUUCGAAAGUGGAGAGGGAUACUGACAGAGGUCGAGUCGGUCAUGUCGAUGGAAAUUCCCGCGACUCGCGAUUUCAGCACAAUCUGCAAGCCGUUCUUCGUGUGCGUCUUCUAAUCCGAGACGCGCGGUGAGAAGGACGGAACUCAAUUCAGACUAAUCUGACUCUGGCCGUUUCUAUCUUCGAUUCUGAGGGCUUCUUUUUAUCAAAUUUGUUUGCUUUCUUUUCUUUUUUUUGCUUUAUUUUUUUUUUUUUUUUUAAUUUCUUUUUCCUCUUUAUUUCUCUCUUACGGAGUAUCGAUCGUUUUACGGAGUUAGAGAAAAGUUUAAUGUCAUCAAAAGCGAUUAUAAUUGAAUAAAUAUUUAAUUAAUCGUAUUGUAAUUAACGUAUGACUUUUUUUUUUCUUUUUUUUCUUUUCAUAUAACUUUUUCAAAGCUUAGUAAAAAGUAUUUUCAAUAUUGAUCGUAAAAAUGAAAAUGAAAAGAGAUAAGAAAAUAGUGCAACUUUCGAUUUUUGUAAUAAUAGUAAAUUAAUAGUACGACGUCCGGAAGGAAUAAAUAAUGGAUUAAUCCUUUGCACUGCAAAAACGACAUACGCUCAAACGUUCGUCAAUACAUAAAAGAAUUGGACAUAUAUUGGAUAUAUAUAUUGCUGUCAUAUGGCAACCAAUCAAAUUAUGACUAAGUAAAGUGAAAUGUAAACGAGAACGUGCAUAUGAUAUAUCAUAAAUUAAUAUAACGAUCUUCAUCAGUUAAUUUCGAUGUUACAUUAAUAAUUAUUAAUGGGAAUCGAAAAAAUUACCUGGCUGACGAUUAAUAUAAUAUAAGCAUUACGAUUGAUAUAACUAGAUAUCGAUUAUGCGCUUCGAUAAUUUAUUUGAAAUUUUUCGCAUAGUUCGAGGAUUAUCGUAACGCAAUCCGCGCGAGGACGUAUUAUUGUUCAUGAAUUCCAUGAAUGUUUCUUAAUCAUCUUACUAGGAAAUGGAAUUCGAACGAUAACCAUCGAUAUCGAUUCGAUCGAAUUAAUUGAAUUUAUAGUGGUCCAUAAAAUUAAAACUGUGUUCGGACGACGGUGAUCGUGCAUCCAGCAUACACAUUCGACGAAACUUCUCUUGCCUGGUUGGCAUCGAUCGCGGGAGACCGAACGAGCAGAUUUCUCCGUGGAAAGCGAAUUUGAUUAAUUUUAUAUAUUUCCCGCAUGAGAUAGCUCGUCGUUUACCUAUCGUUUCAUUUCUAUCUAAUCAAUUUCUCUUUAGUUUAAACCUAUUAAUUUACAUGGAUACCGUUACUCAUCUUAAUUAUAUAUGUAUAUACAUAUGCACAUACACAC
Molecule: long non-coding RNA, 2955 nt
Organism: Vespa mandarinia (Asian giant hornet)
Lineage: Eukaryota; Metazoa; Arthropoda; Insecta; Hymenoptera; Vespidae
Source: RefSeq, a predicted model, not a curated record